This 2359-nucleotide unclassified non-coding RNA is filed under the name Hevea brasiliensis (rubber tree). Lineage: Eukaryota; Viridiplantae; Streptophyta; Magnoliopsida; Malpighiales; Euphorbiaceae. The record is from RNAcentral.
GGAGCUUUGAUCUCAGCCCAUGGUUACCUUCUCCGGAGAUUUCUUUCUUCUUCUUACGGAGGAAGCUUCAAUCGUCACUUCCUGCAACAACUAAUAAACACACUGAAUUCUAGAUCUCCGCCUAAUCAAACCCUAGACAUCCCCACAAAAAUCCACAAAUUGCUUGAACAAAACCACUCUGGAUCAUCCCUACCUCGCAAUUUCAGAUCCACACUAUGUCCUGCCUAGCUCUCUCUCUCCAACCCGCCAACGGAUCCGACAUCCUCAUCCAGACCCGGGAGUGGUUCCCGCCUGCACGCGCCCUUGUCGCCACCUCCGCCUUCCGGAAAACUCGCUUAGCAUUUGCCGCCACCAAACAUAACCCUAACAACCCCAACCACCUCUAUUCCGAUGAUUCUGCUGCCGAAUCCAUCGGCGAUGACCCCCUUGCCGCUUCUAGCGGUCAGCUUAUUGUUGGCGUUGAGAGCCGUUACCGUGUCGUUUACCGCCUAGUCAAUGGAAUCUACGUGCUGGGCAUCACCACUGCCGAUCAGGACAAUUCCAUCAACGUAUUUGAGUGCAUCCACAUCGUUAAUCAAUCCGUCAGCGUCAUUGUCACCGCUUGCCGAGGCGUAGAUGUCACACCUGAAAAGCUGAAUCGAAAAUAUGCGGAGAUCUACAUGGCGUUGGAUAUUGUACUGCGUGGUGUGAGUAAUAUUAGACUUGCGGCUAUGCUCGCGUCGAUGCACGGAGAUGGUAUUGCUAAAAUGGUUCACUCUGCUUUAGAUACAGAGAAUAAAAUUCGAGGCGCUGAAACUUGGCCUGCAGUGGAAGUGCACGCUGUUGAGCAUCAGGCCAGCAUAGAUGCAUUUUCGAGUGUAAGAUUUGAGUUGCCAGCGGAGACGAUUGCUGCAGGGGAUGAGGUUGCGGCAAGUCUUGCACCCGUGGCAAGUGAGCAGCAGGAUCAGAAGCCAGAGAAACAGGAGGAACCUGAGGCACCAAAAGAUCCGUUUGCGGCAAGUGAGUCAAUAAACAAGCAGGAAGAUUUGGUGGGUGAAUUUAAGAAGGAUAAGAAUCAGUCCUCAGAUUUAUCAGUUGCAUUGGCGGGGCUGGAAGUGACUACCUUGCCACCUGCAGAGGCAACGCAAGCUACACAUAUAAGCGUGGAGGGAUUUGAAGGGGAUUAUGGUGGCAUUGAGUUCAGCGGCGAGCAGGCUUCUUUGGGAGAAACUUUUGAAGGGUUCAGUGAUGCUUGGGGUGGAGGAUUGGAUGCUUCCGAGUUUGUUGGACCAAAGAAAAUCCCAAAACAACAAGGUCUUGGUGGACUUGAAUUGCUGCAAACUGGGGAUAGUGGUGAUAAGGCUGCUGCAGCAAAGGCUGCAAGUGGAGCAGCAGGUACUCCUCUUGAGAAUCAACUGGUUCAGAAAACCGAAAUGAAAGGUCCUGAAAUGUACAUUGUUGAAGAAAUUAGUGCAGAGUUUAGGGAGUCAUUGCUUGCUAGAGUUGGAUUAAUGGGUGUUGUUUACUUGAGAACAUUGCCGCCAAAAACUGCUGGUGACAAAGAAACUGAGUUUUCAUUUCGGGUUGAUAACACAAGUGCAGUUAAAAGAUUCGUUAUGCAGAGUUCAAAGGUUAGCAGCCUGGGUAAUGGCAUGUUUCAUGUGAGGACUGCACCAUCCGAAGAGCCUUUACCAAUAUUGAAGUAUAGUCUGCUGCCUAGAUUAACCCCAUUGCCAUUGAGAGUUCGUCUCAUACAGCGUCGUAGUGGGACUUUACUUUCGGUGAUGAUUCAGUAUGCUUCAAACCCAGACUUGCAAGUGCCACUUAGUGAUGUAACAUUUAUUUUGAAAUUACCAGUUGACCCAACAUUGCUGAAAGUUUCUCCUAAAGCUGUGUUGAAUAGGGCUGAGAGAGAAUUAAAAUGGCAUGUCCCAGAGAUUCCACUCAAAGAUUCUCCUGGGAAGUUGAGGGCAAGGAUGCCUGUCGAUUCUAGUGAGGGAGAGGGUGAUGAAGAAAUUGAGGCUUUUGGUUAUGUUAAAUUUUCCAUGCAAGGGACUACUUCAUUAUCUGGGGUCUGUCUACGGACUGCUACUGAGGGUAAAACAGACUUUUAUGAGGUUAGUCACAGUUAUCAGAGUGGGGUUUAUACGUGCAAUUGACAAAUAAAAUAACUUGGCUGCUUGGUUACAGAUUGUUGUGCUUCAGUUUCUCUUCUUUCUGUUAAAAUAAGUUUUGUGUUUUCUGUAUGGUUGUAGCAUUCUUUGAUAUUUUGAGUUUGCAACUUAGAUUGAGAUUCAUGUGAAAAUUUAUGGCUUUAUGUUAUUAGCUGGUGAUUUAUGUUAAUGAAUGGUAGAUUUUGUUCCUUAUGUGCCCUUUUUCC